RNAcentral lists this long non-coding RNA (1098 nucleotides) under Actinidia chinensis (golden kiwifruit). Its description in RNAcentral is "long non-coding RNA (ACHI_LNC005920)". The record is from RNAcentral. Lineage: Eukaryota; Viridiplantae; Streptophyta; Magnoliopsida; Ericales; Actinidiaceae.
CACUUUAAAUAUUUAUUUACAACAAGUUAAAAACACUUUUCUAAAUAGCGUUUUUAUUAAACGCUAAUUUUUUAUAAAAAACGCUUUUUCAAAUAGCGUUUUUUUCUCUGUUCAGAUAUACGGUAUUUAUACAAAAUAAAAACGUAUUUUGAAGGGGCCAAUGAUCCAAAGAGGGAUCAAACUCACGAGCUCCAAUCAAUGAGCCUCAGCAAAUUCUAGAGCUGCUUUUUCAGCCAACGUCUUUGAAAUUGUGUAUGAAGCUCCAAAUGACCUUAGGGGCUGUUUGGACUGGUGGAUUAGAGGGGGGAUAAUUUUUCCCCACGGAUAAUUUUUCCCAUGUCGUUUUGGCUGGCCGGAUAAGGAGGCGGAUUAAUAAAACAACUUAUGCCCCCGGAAAUUUUUCCCCCAGCAGGUGGAUAGAGACGGAUAAUUUUGGGUGGCCUAGACCCAACCUAAAGUUAUCCGGGGGAAUAAGGGGGUGAGGGGAUAAGAAAAAAAUAUAUAAAGAGAAACAAAAUGUUAUAUUUUUAUUUGGAUAUAUAUAUAUAUAGAAAUAAAAUUCUUUUUUAAUAUCUAAAUAUUUUAAUUUUGUUUCUCUUUAUAUUUUUCUUUUUUAUCACCACCCGUAUCACCUAUUCUAAAAAGUAUCCAAACAAAGUUAAAAGUUAUCCCCUUCAAAAGUUAUCCCUAUCUAAAAAUUUAUCUCCCCUUUAAAAUUAUCCCUCUUCCAUAUCCGCCAGCCAACGGCCCGUUAGAGCUCUAACCUAAUCUACAUGUCCAAUCACUCUCAUCAAUUAGGCCUGAACUCUUGUCAUUGUACAUCACAGUGAAUGCACUAGAAGUGUAAACUACUCUCUUCAACGUCUUCGAGUCGAGGUAGGCCCGUAAAAUUCCGAUGGUGCCCUUAAUCGCUCUUUCGUUUGUGACUUGUUUGAUACUUUCUCCUCAAAACCAACCGGGUGAGCGAUGUGGAAGACUCCAGUGCACCCUCGGAUGAUUCCAUCGAAGGUCUCGGGAUCGUUGAGGUCUGCGUUGAAGAUUUCGAGCUUUUCUAGUGCCUUUGGGAGGUUGGCCAGGUUGAUGAUGUCUUUCUUGCCG